AAGAAAAAUAAGCUAAUUUUAAGCUAUUGGACUCAUAAUUCAAUUAUAGGAACGCCCUUUUUUCU
RNAcentral lists this transfer RNA (65 nucleotides) under Psylla alni. RNAcentral's name for it is "tRNA-Met". Lineage: Eukaryota; Metazoa; Arthropoda; Insecta; Hemiptera; Psyllidae. The record is from RNAcentral.